GAUUAAGUUAUUAAGGGCGCACGGUGGAUGCCUUGGCACUAGAAGCCGAUGAAGGACGUUACUAACGACGAUAUGCUUUGGGGAGCUGUAAGUAAGCUUUGAUCCAGAGAUUUCCGAAUGGGGAAACCCAGCAUGAGUUAUGUCAUGUUAUCGAUAUGUGAAUACAUAGCAUAUCAGAAGGCACACCCGGAGAACUGAAACAUCUUAGUACCCGGAGGAAGAGAAAGAAAAUUCGAUUCCCUUAGUAGCGGCGAGCGAAACGGGAAGAGCCCAAACCAACAAGCUUGCUUGUUGGGGUUGUAGGACACUCUAUACGGAGUUACAAAGGACGACAUUAGACGAAUCAUCUGGAAAGAUGAAUCAAAGAAGGUAAUAAUCCUGUAGUCGAAAAUGUUGUCUCUCUUGAGUGGAUCCUGAGUACGACGGAGCACGUGAAAUUCCGUCGGAAUCUGGGAGGACCAUCUCCUAAGGCUAAAUACUCUCUAGUGACCGAUAGUGAACCAGUACCGUGAGGGAAAGGUGAAAAGCACCCCGGAAGGGGAGUGAAAUAGAACCUGAAACCGUGUGCUUACAAGUAGUCAGAGCCCGUUAAUGGGUGAUGGCGUGCCUUUUGUAGAAUGAACCGGCGAGUUACGAUUUGAUGCAAGGUUAAGCAGUAAAUGUGGAGCCGUAGCGAAAGCGAGUCUGAAUAGGGCGUUUAGUAUUUGGUCGUAGACCCGAAACCAGGUGAUCUACCCUUGGUCAGGUUGAAGUUCAGGUAACACUGAAUGGAGGACCGAACCGACUUACGUUGAAAAGUGAGCGGAUGAACUGAGGGUAGCGGAGAAAUUCCAAUCGAACCUGGAGAUAGCUGGUUCUCUCCGAAAUAGCUUUAGGGCUAGCCUCAAGUGAUGAUUAUUGGAGGUAGAGCACUGUUUGGACGAGGGGCCCCUCUCGGGUUACCGAAUUCAGACAAACUCCGAAUGCCAAUUAAUUUAACUUGGGAGUCAGAACAUGGGUGAUAAGGUCCGUGUUCGAAAGGGAAACAGCCCAGACCACCAGCUAAGGUCCCAAAAUAUAUGUUAAGUGGAAAAGGAUGUGGCGUUGCCCAGACAACUAGGAUGUUGGCUUAGAAGCAGCCAUCAUUUAAAGAGUGCGUAAUAGCUCACUAGUCGAGUGACACUGCGCCGAAAAUGUACCGGGGCUAAACAUAUUACCGAAGCUGUGGAUUGUCCUUUGGACAAUGGUAGGAGAGCGUUCUAAGGGCGUUGAAGCAUGAUCGUAAGGACAUGUGGAGCGCUUAGAAGUGAGAAUGCCGGUGUGAGUAGCGAAAGACGGGUGAGAAUCCCGUCCACCGAUUGACUAAGGUUUCCAGAGGAAGGCUCGUCCGCUCUGGGUUAGUCGGGUCCUAAGCUGAGGCCGACAGGCGUAGGCGAUGGAUAACAGGUUGAUAUUCCUGUACCACCUAUAAUCGUUUUAAUCGAUGGGGGGACGCAGUAGGAUAGGCGAAGCGUGCGAUUGGAUUGCACGUCUAAGCAGUAAGGCUGAGUAUUAGGCAAAUCCGGUACUCGUUAAGGCUGAGCUGUGAUGGGGAGAAGACAUUGUGUCUUCGAGUCGUUGAUUUCACACUGCCGAGAAAAGCCUCUAGAUAGAAAAUAGGUGCCCGUACCGCAAACCGACACAGGUAGUCAAGAUGAGAAUUCUAAGGUGAGCGAGCGAACUCUCGUUAAGGAACUCGGCAAAAUGACCCCGUAACUUCGGGAGAAGGGGUGCUCUUUAGGGUUAACGCCCAGAAGAGCCGCAGUGAAUAGGCCCAA
RNAcentral lists this ribosomal RNA (1796 nucleotides) under Staphylococcus aureus. Its description in RNAcentral is "partial 23S ribosomal RNA". It matches the Rfam family "Bacterial large subunit ribosomal RNA", at positions 1 to 1795 of the family's 2925-position model. Lineage: Bacteria; Bacillati; Bacillota; Bacilli; Caryophanales; Staphylococcaceae. The record is from RNAcentral.